CCUACGGGGGGCAGCAGUGAGGAAUAUUGGUCAAUGGGCGCGAGCCUGAACCAGCCAAGUAGCGUGAAGGAUGACUGCCCUACGGGUUGUAAACUUCUUUUAUAAAGGAAUAAAGUGAGGAACGUGUGCCUUUGUAUAUGUACUUUAUGAAUAAGGAUCGGCUAACUCCGUGCCAGCAGCCGCGGUAAUACGGAGGGUGCGAGCGUUAAGCGGAAUUGCUGGGCGGAAAGCGCUCGUAGGCGGUUUGUAAAGUUAAGGGUGAAAUCCCCGCGCUCAACCUGCGAACCGCCUUUGAUACUGGCAAACUGGAGUGUGUUAGAGGAUAGUGGAAUUCCAGGUGUAGCGGUGAAAUGCGUAGAUAUCUGGAGGAACAUCAGUGGCGAAGGCGGCUUUCUGGCUCAUAACUGACGCUGAGGAGCGAAAGCGUGGGUAGCAAACAGGAUUAGAUACCCGAGUAGUC
Molecule: ribosomal RNA, 460 nt
Filed under: uncultured bacterium
Lineage: Bacteria
Description: partial 16S ribosomal RNA
Rfam family: Bacterial small subunit ribosomal RNA
Source: RNAcentral